AGCUCCAAUAGCGUAUAUUAAAGUUGUUGCAGUUAAAAAGCUCGUAGUUGGAUUUCUGGGCCCAACCACCGGUCUAUCGAAAGAUGUGCACUGAGGGUGGGGUCCAUGCCUCCUGAGGGCCACUGGUGCUCUUAACUGAGUGUCUGUGGAACUUGGGACCUUUACUUUGAAAAAAUUAGAGUGUUCAAAGCAGGCCAACGCUUGAAUACAUUAGCAUGGAAUAAUGGAAUAGGACUUUGGUUCUAUUUCGUUGGUUCUAGGACCGAAGUAAUGAUUAAUAGGGAUAGUUGGGGGCAUUAGUAUUUAAUUGUCAGAGGUGAAAUUCUUAGAUUUAUGAAAGACUAACUACUGCGAAAGCAUUUGCCAAGGAUGUUUUCA
RNAcentral lists this ribosomal RNA (378 nucleotides) under uncultured eukaryote. Its description in RNAcentral is "SSU rRNA". It matches the Rfam family "Eukaryotic small subunit ribosomal RNA", at positions 587 to 972 of the family's 1831-position model. The record is from RNAcentral.